Molecule: ribosomal RNA, 529 nt
Filed under: uncultured bacterium
Lineage: Bacteria
Description: bacterial SSU rRNA
Rfam family: Bacterial small subunit ribosomal RNA
Source: RNAcentral
UUCGGGACAAUUGCGCCUGGGCGAAACCUGACGCAGCGACGCCGCGUGGAGAUGAUGCUCCUCGGCCUGAAACUCCUGCUAGCGGGACGAAGGUCGCCCUCUACUAAAACUCGAAUCUGACGGUACCGCUAGAGAAAGCACCGGCUAACUCUCGUGCCAGCAGCCGCGGUAAUACGAGGGGUGCAAGCGUUAUUCGGAAUAACUGGGCGUAAAGGGUGUGUAGACGGCAUAUUAAGCUUGUUGUUAAAUCCUCCGGCCUAACUGGAGAUCUGCGGCGAGAACUGAUGUGCUUGAGGGUGGAAGAGAGAAGUGGAAUUCCCGGAGUAGCGGUAAAAUGCGUAGAGAUCGGGAGGAAGGCCGGUGGCGAAGGCGGCGCUCUGGAACGUUCCUGACGCUGAGGCUCGAAAGCGUGGGGAGCAAACAGGAUUAGAUCCCUGGUAGUCCACGCCCUAAACGAUGGACACUAAGUGUCGGCGGGUUACCGCCGGUGCCGCAGCUACGCAUUAAGUGUCCCGCUGGGGAGUACGGC